RNAcentral lists this ribosomal RNA (301 nucleotides) under uncultured bacterium. RNAcentral's name for it is "partial 16S ribosomal RNA". It matches the Rfam family "Bacterial small subunit ribosomal RNA", at positions 509 to 807 of the family's 1533-position model. The record is from RNAcentral.
CAGUCGCCACGGGAAUACGUAGGGUGCAAGCGUUAAUCGGAAUUACUGGGCGUAAAGCGUGCGCAGGCGGUUUUGUAAGACAGAGGUGAAAUCCCCGGGCUCAACCUGGGAACUGCCUUUGUGACUGCAAGGCUGGAGUGCGGCAGAGGGGGAUGGAAUUCCGCGUGUAGCAGUGAAAUGCGUAGAUAUGCGGAGGAACACCGAUGGCGAAGGCAAUCCCCUGGGCCUGCACUGACGCUCAUGCACGAAAGCGUGGGGAGCAAACAGGAUUAGAUACCCCUGUAGUCCCUGUCUCUUAUAC